GAUUGCCUCGUGUGGUGCAGUGUGUCUGGCUGUUAACCAGAAGGUUGGUGGUUCAAGCCCAACCAGGGACG
Podarcis lilfordi (Lilford's wall lizard) is the source of this 71-nucleotide non-coding RNA. NCBI's taxonomy places the organism in Eukaryota, Metazoa, Chordata, Lepidosauria, Squamata, Lacertidae. The record is from the annotation of a GenBank genome assembly.